This is a long non-coding RNA of Amphibalanus amphitrite, 3405 nucleotides long. RefSeq lists it as uncharacterized. The record is from RefSeq and is a predicted model, not a curated record. Lineage: Eukaryota; Metazoa; Arthropoda; Thecostraca; Balanomorpha; Balanidae. The transcript has 2 exons.
UUGCCGGCCAGUUGGACUUGAGCGGUCGCCAUGGUGGUGUCGGGGGCUCGGCCGGCCUCGUUAGGUGUUGAAUUAUGUGUUUCGUUGUGCUAGAUCUUGCCAAUUUGCUUUGAUAUUUGAUAAAUAACGCUGCCUUUUUCUUUGGUGACCCUGCAAACUAAUACGACGAUAUUUUGGUGCCUAUUAUUAUGCAUUAAACAUCUUGAGACAAAUGUGGCGAUUUCGACGCCCUUUUGCAGUGCCCCCCUCCCCUUUUGUAGUGAGUUAACAGGCUUGUAAGAACCAAGUGAACCAUUUUUAGUCAAGUGGUCAUGAUCGUCCCUACAUCUAAUGGAUACUAAAUAGUCUUGCGCAAACUUUUUAGGUAAUGGAGGAAGCAGAAUAAUUACGAUUUUGGAGUACGCAAACUUGAUAUAAAAAAUCUCAGGUAUUUUGGCCAUAUAAAGUGAGAAAAAAAGUUCAAUUUACCAUUUUUAUUACAAUUGCAAUAAUGAUAAUAUCAUGAUAAUUGUACUGUCAGGUAUUGAUAAUAGUCAUGUCACGUCGUGCUACUAACCACACAGACACAACACAUUUUCAUCGUUAUGUAUCUAGGCAUAAGGUAUUACAGGCAUGUUUUUUUGCACACCUGUCAUGUGUGAGUGGGCAUGGCCUCCUUCCCAGUUAAAUUUUGGCUGGUUGUGCUCAAAUUUUGUAAAUACCUUAACCUACAUGUAAAGGGAUACAGACACAGUUAGUCAGGCACUCUUCUUAGUUCUUAAUCCAGUUUUGUGCACCACUUCCUGCUUUCACCAUGCUGUGCCCACUCUGCUUUACAGUGGACAGCUGCUUCUGUGACACGCAUCAAACUUGCGCUCAUUGAAACACUUAGUUUUGAGUGUUUUGACUCAGUUUUGUUGUAACAUUACCUUUGUUUAUGUUCUCAGUAACUUGCUUUGGGCUUCUCAUAUUUAUAUUUUUUCUUGGCUUAGCAGGUUUAGUGUAAAACAAGUUGCUGAAAUAUUUACAUGUUAAGAUUACAUGAGUGCAUACAUUUUAUAAAAGCUAUUUCAAAGUACUGUAGCUAUGUGUAACAUGCAUAUGUCUAAGUCAAUGACUACUCAGCAUGCUGCUUGGUGUUCAAUGGUAACAGUUUGAUUUGUUUUUUACAUCAAAUAAGAUUUGAUUUGUGUUUCUGAGAUUCCAAUGUUAUUUGUGGCAAAUAUUUUCCAAAAAUCCUCCAUCUUAAGCUUCAACUGAAUUAUAAAAUGCCUGCAUUUUCUACCAGAAACAUUAUCAUUGAUUCCUCCUACAAUAUUUCAUUUUGUCACUAGGUACCUGGACUGGUGAAAAGUGAAAACUGAAAUUCAUUCAUGUCAUCAUUAUAUUAAAGGAAAUAGUUCACUUUUAACAUGGGGUUUUGAGCUGGAAUAGCAGUUUCGUAGCUUGAGCUGAGACUAGCACAAAUCAGGAGCUUUUACGGCUCAACGAUCACCCUAGACGAAGAAAUUCCAUUUCUCGUUCCGAAAAGAGUGCCUUGUAGAGGAAUGCGUGCCUUGCACAGGAAUGCAGCCACGUCAUCGUCAGCCAAUCAGCGUGCUGCUUACAGCCAAUGCAGUAUUCGUAGGUUUGAGCUACGCAAUAUGAUUGGUCAAUGCGUAAUAAGCUUCCGCGUCAAACAUUAUUUUACAUAGAAUAUAGUUCGCCCUAUAUUAAAAUAAAGAAAAUAAUUGUUUUUACAAAAAGGUUUUAUUUUAUUUCAUGAUUAUUUUGAGCAUAAAAAAUCAUAAAUCAAUAGCAAAAUACUGAUUUCAGGAAAGUGGACUGUUUCCUUUAAGACCUACCCCUAAAUGGAAUUGAUCUUGUUUCACAAAUGAGUUGUACAAUGUCUAUCAGCUGAUGUCUAUUGUCUAUCUCUUUUUCAGCACAGAAGAUCCUCAGUCAUAGUUAACAAAAUGGUAAAAUUAGCUGUGUUUUAAGAUUCCAGUCGUGGCCAUCAACUGCUCAGGAAAGCAGCCCAGAAUCACUUCACUACAGGUUUUCAAAGGAUCAUCAUUCAUCAGUACAGAAGGGUGGGGAAGAGAAGGCUGUUCAAAUUCUGAAAAGCCAGAGCUGCAAAGGAGGUCAAGAUGCAGUGCAGUUGGCCCACUCAGUAGAGUUUCACUAGUGGUUCUGAUGUGGACUGGGGAUUACACGCUGGAUUGAAGUGGUGGUCUGGAGCAGCUGUAAUUCAUCAUUCGUGCUGAUCGUGGACGAGUAAGAGCCCGCGUUGGCCCCGAUCGGCGAUCGCUGGCCAAAGCCCACCACCAGGUUGGUGAUAGGCGUUGGCUGUGAUAUCUUGGUGUCGCCUAUGUGUGAAAAGGACAAGUUGAUAACAAAACCUGUUGCGCCAUGUUAUUAACCCGCGCCCGGGUGGCCCUCAGCCAACUUGGUGGGGGGGGGGGGGGGGGGGGUGGGAGGGGGGAGGGGAGGCGUAUUCGGCCACACCAGGUUAUCUUGGAAUGUAACAAAGUUGGAAAGACGCAGUAAAAUCAAUAUAUAGCUCGCUAUUUUCCUUCAGAAUCAUACAGGUCAUUUUCGAUCAGGUCAUUGCUGAGGUCACUGGAGGUCACCAAAAGUAAAAUGAUGACGAAUUCUGGCUUUAGAUUUUGACAACUUCACAAAUUGGUUCAUAACUCGGGAACCAAAGAAGCUACAGCGCCGCGGAAAAGCGAAUUCGAUAGCUCUUUCGAAAAUCUUUCAGGUUCUCAGAUUUGAGCUAAGGUCAACUAGGGUUAAGCCUCCAAAUGGCAAAAACUGAACAAUCGGCGUGCUUCGGAAAUCGUCUUAUCUUUUAAAACUUUUGAUACCAACCUUUUAUUACGUUGAUUUUACCGGCACUGCGUUUCUCUCGUCUUGUUGACCUAACAAGGUCAACUUAAUAAAUUUGACCUCAGGUCAAAGUCGCAGAAAAUGCCAUAUUGCAUGUCAGUCGAUUCGUUACAUUGAGAUUGUGAUUAACAUCAGUAGCGGCGGAACACCUUCAAUUAAGGGGGCAUUGCCGACUUUUGGUCCCAUUCUUCCCAUGCAACGCCCAUAGGGCUAAUCUUAAAAUGUCAAAAUCAAAGGGGGCACGGUGCCCCGGUGCCCUCCCCGUUCCGCCGCCUGUGAUUAUGAUGUUUUUAGCGCUCUGGCCACGUUCCAUCUAAAAUCAAUGUACAAAAAUAAACUGUUGGAGACGUUACAUGACCUGAGAUGACCUCAGGAGCAUACGAUAGAUCCCGACGUUUGAGUGUUUUUGUUUCAAAAGCAGAGCAUUUCGAGUUCCUCAUACUGACUGAAACUGGAGACGUCGCAAAGUUGACCUGACCCUCGGUCACCGAUAUCAAAAUUAAAGAUACUCAAGAUGUUGGUAGUUGGUACUGAUUCUCUCAUGCAAUAGCUCGA